AUUGAACGCUGGCGGCAUGCUUUACACAUGCAAGUCGAACGGUAACAGGCCGCAAGGUGCUGACGAGUGGCGAACGGGUGAGUAAUGCAUCGGAACGUGCCCAGUCGUGGGGGAUAACUACUCGAAAGAGUAGCUAAUACCGCAUACGAUCUAUGGAUGAAAGCGGAGGACCGUAAGGCCUCGCGCGAUUGGAGCGGCCGAUGUCAGAUUAGGUAGUUGGUGGGGUAAAGGCUCACCAAGCCAACGAUCUGUAGCUGGUCUGAGAGGACGACCAGCCACACUGGGACUGAGACACGGCCCAGACUCCUACGGGAGGCAGCAGUGGGGAAUUUUGGACAAUGGGCGCAAGCCUGAUCCAGCAAUGCCGCGUGCAGGAAGAAGGCCUUCGGGUUGUAAACUGCUUUUGUACGGAACGAAACGGCUCUGGUUAAUACCCGGGGCUAAUGACGGUACCGUAAGAAUAAGCACCGGCUAACUACGUG
Molecule: ribosomal RNA, 482 nt
Filed under: uncultured bacterium
Lineage: Bacteria
Description: partial 16S ribosomal RNA
Rfam family: Bacterial small subunit ribosomal RNA
Source: RNAcentral